GCACCGCGGGGGUUACAUAACCGCGGGCGGGUGGGCGGGUGCAAAGGCUCUGGAGUACCUUACAUAACUCACGGGUCGGGCAAGGGCGGCUCUCGGCCAAUCCCGGCCAAGUGGAGUGGCCUGGAGGACUACAGGGCUGGGCCGCGCAAGCCUCCUGCUGGGUUUUUCCGGAGGCGGGGCCUUGGGGCUGUCAGUCACGAGAGGGCGGGGUCUGCGCGGACAACACGUGAAUGGAACUGGUGGCACUUUUGGGUCCGCAGGCCUUUGGGGCUCCUCGGUGUCCCAGGAAUGCAGUGCUUUCGGGUUCCCAUUGUUUUACUCUUACCUAAACUUGCUGCCUUCUCUCUCCCGCCGAUAUAGGUGGGCGAACCCAGGUAGACUCCAACCGUAUUUUCAGAAAUACAAGUUUAAUGGUACAAAGUAACUUCCCUGGCUGCCCUCAAGUUACAGGUUCAUUUGGCAAUCGGAGGAAGACAGCAUUGUAAUCGACGCUCCGUUUUCGAGGAAACAGCCGGGACGCUCAUUUUACAUAACCAUCUCUAGUCGUCAGAAACGAAAGGCAAAUUAACCCACCUUGCUGCUGCUGCUGUACUCUGCUGUUAUCAGAACUCAACGUGUUAUCAUGGCUUCUGCACGGGCUGAACACCAGAUGUUUGCCAGGAAUCCCCCAGGCCAGCAGUGCCACAUGGGAACUUCUGAUCACUCAGGCCCAUGGACCAAGCAGCUAUCAGCUUCAUAGCUUCCUCAGUGUGAGGUAGACCAUAUACAUCAGCCAAUCUAAAAAUCUCUCUCUCUCUCUCUCUCUCUCUCUCUCUCUCUCUCUCUCACACACACACACACACUUCAUCUUAUCUUCUGUUGCUCUAGAGAACCCUAAGGACUAUGUACUCCUAGGAGAAUAGAGCAGAAAAAAGGUAGUUUGUCAGGGAGCGAGGGAGAACAUCAAGGGUUAGAAGUUUAGGACAUGCAUCAGGUAUAUCCCCCACUCCACUCCAAGAAACAAGACACAGGUUCAUGUUAAUAACUUUAUUCCGGUCACCAUAGCGGGAACAUUCCCAGCUAAAUGCACAGAGAAGCGAGGUAUUACUGUGUUAAUACAGGAGCCAACGACUUACAUGGGACAGAGUACGAGGAGACAGCACCAAAGUUGUGGGGUCAGACCAGGACAGAGGCCCUAGCUAUGUGGCAAGGCAUGUCUUCAACACUUGUUUUGUUUCAGUAAUGUUAGGGGAUCAGAUAAAAAAAACUAGAACCAGAUCCUAUGACAUUUUGGCUAAUGCUGCUUUGCACACAGACACACAUUUCAGGACAUCCUGGUGGCACUGCCACAGUCUCCCAGAACUCUGUGCAGACUGUUGCCUUUGUGAGGCUUCAGAUGCUGCUCUCAUCACACUAGUGGCCACAGGCUAGUGCAGUCUGCAAACUACUAUCUUGCAUACAGGUGUGAUUUGAGGUCACCUCUAUCGCUCUAGGAAAGAAACCACAUCAGGAUGAGAAGCUGUACCUACAGCAUUCCACAGGAAGGACUGUCAAGAUGCUGCGGGCUCAGACAGUACUAACAUUUUUUCUUAAAGGGCACCUUGAGUUACACUUGGCACUUAUUUGAAUUUACUACUGGGGGACAAACUUAUGGACAAUUCAUUUGUAUUUAACUUUUGGCAAAAUAGAAACUUUGGUCACAGUUCUAUAAAAACUUCCUAAAGGGUUAUUUCUGAUUAAAAUACUGUUUUAGAAGUGAUACACAACAAGAACUAGAAAGUGAACAUCUCCGUAUCUAACAUAAGAGCAUGAGCUCUUCACCAGCAUCUUAAAUACAGCGGGGUCGGUAGUGCUUACAAAAGUACUCUUAAUGAAAAGUUACCUAGUUAUCAAAAUAAGGCACGCCC
Rattus norvegicus (Norway rat) is the source of this 1886-nucleotide non-coding RNA. NCBI's taxonomy places the organism in Eukaryota, Metazoa, Chordata, Mammalia, Rodentia, Muridae. The record is from RefSeq and is a predicted model, not a curated record.